UUGUCUCAAAGAUUAAGCCAUGCAUGUCUCAGUACAAGCCAAAUUAAGGUGAAACCGCGAAAGGCUCAUUAAAUCAGUUAUGGUUCCUUAGAUCGUACCAACACUUUUACUUGGAUAACUGUGGUAAUUCUAGAGCUAAUACAUGCAAACAGAGCUCCGACCGGAGACGGAAGGAGCGCUUUUAUUAGAUCAAAACCAAUCGGCGGCGCGUUCGCUUGCGGACACGUCGUCGUUCUUAUUGACGAAUCUGAAUAACUUUCUGCUGAUCGCACGGUCUUGCACCGGCGACGCAUCUUUCAAAUGUCUGCCUUAUCAACUGUCGAUGGUAGGUUCUGUGCCUACCAUGGUUGUAACGGGUAACGGGGAAUCAGGGUUCGAUUCCGGAGAGGGAGCCUGAGAAACGGCUACCACAUCCAAGGAAGGCAGCAGGCGCGCAAAUUACCCACUCCCGGCACGGGGAGGUAGUGACGAAAAAUAACGAUACGGGACUCAUCCGAGGCCCCGUAAUCGGAAUGAGAACAAUUUAAAUCCUUUAACGAGGAUCAAUUGGAGGGCAAGUCUGGUGCCAGCAGCCGCGGUAAUUCCAGCUCCAAUAGCGUAUAUUAAAGUUGUUGCGGUUAAAAAGCUCGUAGUCGAAUCUGUGUCCCGCGCCGCCGGUUCGUCGCUCGCGGCGUUUAACUGGCGUGUCCGCGGGACGUCCUGCCGGUGGGCUUAGCUCUUUCACGAGGGCGGCCCAAUUACAAUCCCGCCGCGGUGCUCUUCAUUGAGUGUCGAGGCGGGCCGGCACGUUUACUUUGAACAAAUUAGAGUGCUUAAAGCAGGCUCAAACUUUGCCUGAAUACUUCGUGCAUGGAAUAAUGGAAUAGGACCUCGGUUCUAUUUUGUUGGUUUUCGGAACCCCGAGGUAAUGAUUAAUAGGAACGGAUGGGGGCAUUCGUAUUGCGACGUUAGAGGUGAAAUUCUUGGAUCGUCGCAAGACGGACAGAAGCGAAAGCAUUUGCCAAAGAA
RNAcentral lists this ribosomal RNA (1008 nucleotides) under Calopteron sp. UPOL A00633. RNAcentral describes it as "SSU rRNA". It matches the Rfam family "Eukaryotic small subunit ribosomal RNA", at positions 32 to 965 of the family's 1831-position model. The record is from RNAcentral. Lineage: Eukaryota; Metazoa; Arthropoda; Insecta; Coleoptera; Lycidae.